ACGUGCUCAAGCCCCUCUCGAGAGAGAGGCUUGGAUUUGGACGGGUUGCCGCGAUCGAUUUCGCGGCUCGUCUUGAAAUGCAUUAGGGGGUCGAGCUUUUUCGAGUCGACGGUGUGAUAAGCGAUCGCCGAAGCGACCUUUGAACUCGACCUUUGACCGUCUUCGGACUGUCCUUUGGGGCACACGCGCCUUGUC
RNAcentral lists this unclassified non-coding RNA (195 nucleotides) under uncultured Agaricomycetes. RNAcentral's name for it is "sequence contains ITS2". Lineage: Eukaryota; Fungi; Basidiomycota; Agaricomycetes. The record is from RNAcentral.